This 552-nucleotide ribosomal RNA is filed under the name uncultured bacterium. RNAcentral describes it as "partial 16S ribosomal RNA". It matches the Rfam family "Bacterial small subunit ribosomal RNA", at positions 355 to 923 of the family's 1533-position model. The record is from RNAcentral.
UGGGGAAUAUUGCACAAUGGGCGAAAGCCUGAUGCAGCAACGCCGCGUGAGUGAUGAAGGCCUUCGGGUUGUAAAGCUCUGUCUUUUGGGACGAUAAUGACGGUACCAAAGGAGGAAGCCACGGCUAACUACGUGCCAGCAGCCGCGGUAAUACGUAGGUGGCAAGCGUUGUCCGGAUUUACUGGGCGUAAAGGAUGCGUAGGCGGAUUUUUAAGUGAGAUGUGAAAACCCUAAGCUUAACUUGGGGACUGCAUUUCAUACUGGAAAUCUAGAGUGCGGGAGAGGAGAAUGGAAUUCCUAGUGUAGCGGUGAAAUGCGUAGAGAUUAGGAAGAACACCAGUGGCGAAGGCGAUUCUCUGGACCGUAACUGACGCUGAGGCAUGAAAGCGUGGGUAGCAAACAGGAUUAGAUACCCUGGUAGUCCACGCCGUAAACGAUGAGUACUAGGUGUAGGAGGUAUCGACCCCUUCUGUGCCGCAGUUAACACAAUAAGUACUCCGCCUGGGAAGUACGAUCGCAAGAUUAAAACUCAAAGGAAUUGACGGGGUCAUA